AAGAAGAGAAGAAAAGAAGAACAAAAAGAGGUAGCCAUUCUAGACCCCUCCCUUACAUUCUAACUCUCCUUUUUUUUUUUUUUUUUUUUUUUUUC
This 95-nucleotide non-coding RNA is filed under the name Lotharella globosa. The record is from RNAcentral. Lineage: Eukaryota; Cercozoa; Chlorarachniophyceae.